GAUGAAGAACGUAGCGAAAUGCGAUAAGUAAUGUGAAUUGCAGAGUUCAGUGAAUCAUCGAAUCUUUGAACGCACAUUGCGCCCGCCAGUAUUCUGGCGGGCAUGCCUGUCCGAGCGUCAUUUGUACCUUCAAGCUCUGCUUGGUGUUGGGUGUUUGUCUCGCCUCUGCGUGUAGACUCGCCUUAAAACAAUUGGCAGCCGGCGUAUUGAUUUCGGAGCGCAGUACAUCUCGCGCUUUGCACUCAUAACGACGACGUCCAAAAGUACAUUUUUACACUCUUGACCUCGGAUCAGGUAGGGAUACCCGCUGAACUUAAGCAUAUCAAUAAGCGGAGGA
This 337-nucleotide unclassified non-coding RNA is filed under the name soil metagenome. RNAcentral's name for it is "partial contains 5.8S ribosomal RNA, internal transcribed spacer 2, and large subunit ribosomal RNA". The stretch from base 1 to 120 matches the Rfam family "5.8S ribosomal RNA", at positions 35 to 154 of the family's 154-position model. The record is from RNAcentral.